RNAcentral lists this long non-coding RNA (699 nucleotides) under Chinchilla lanigera (long-tailed chinchilla). RNAcentral's name for it is "lncRNA (ENSCLAG00000026046.1)". Lineage: Eukaryota; Metazoa; Chordata; Mammalia; Rodentia; Chinchillidae. The record is from RNAcentral.
GAUAACCCUCCAUCCUUCUGACAUUUAUACCCUUGAAGGUGCAGUAAUGUUCAGUGCCUGUUUUAACCACUGAAAUAACCAUAGUUUUUCUUUAUUUUCCUAGGAACCAAUAAUCUGUAAGCAUUCAAAAAAAAAAUCAGAGGACAAAACUGGACUAAAUGGUAGGAAAAUAGGCAGGGACAGAGCCCUGGCUUGGUGGGCUUGUGGCUUUUCUCCAGUUGCGUCCACUUACUAUGCUGCUAACCACCUCCAGGGCUGUCCAGGUAAAGGAGGCAAAUAAAUGCAGAAUAAUGAGCGCCUGUGCAUUGCUCCUGGAAACAGGCUAUCUUGAAAACAAAUACAGACCUGAACGAAUUCUGCUCCUUCAUAAUUCCAGGAGGAAAGAGUAGGAGCCUUGUCAGGCCCGCCACCAGGAGGAGACACGGAGACAGUAAUGAUGCCCAGAGGAUAGGGCAUUGGCAUUCUACAAAUAAAAUAGAAUAGGUAAAUGCAAGUCUCUCCCACUCCCAAAUGACCUUUGUGCCAAAGAAAAUGUAUUUUGCUUAAAGGAACCCAUGAAAUACUGUUACCGUCAUCAUUUUCGUCAUUCUUGUCAGCAUCACUUGUGACACUACUAGCGAGCUGUACAGCACAGAGGUGAAGACUGUGGCCUUACUUUCCCGCAGUGGAGUUUGAAUCUUGGCUCUUACUGUGUGAUGC